UUCUCGAAUUUAAAAGAGUUAAUUAAUUAAAAAAUUUAUUGUAGUAAAAAUAUUUUUCAUAAUUAAUUAGAAAUGAAAUGUUAAUCGUUUUUAAAUAUAUCUAGUUUUUUUAGAAAAAAAUUUAAUUUUAAAUUAAAUUAAUUAAAAAAUUAAUUAAAAAAUUUUUUAAAAUUUAAAUUUAAUAUUUUAAGGGAUAAGCUUUAAUUUAAAAUAUUUAUAAUUAAAUAUUAAAUUUUUUGAAAAUUUUAAAAUUUAUAUUGUUUAAAAAUUAUAAUUUUUUAUAAAUAAUUUCAUAAAAAAUAAAAUUUAAUUUUAAUUUAAUUUUUUAUAAAAAAAUAAAAUUUAAAAAAAUAAUUUUAGUUAUAAUGAUAAAAUUAGUAUAUAAAUUUUAUUUAAUUAAUAUUAUAAAAUAUUUUUAAAUGAAAAAUUAAUUAUAAGGAAUUCGGCAAAAAUUUAUAUUCACUUGUUUAUCAAAAACAUGUCUUUUUGAAAUAAUUUAAAGUCUAAUCUGCCCACUGAUGAAAAUUGAAGGGCUGCAGUAUUUUGACUGUACAAAGGUAGCAUAAUCAUUAGUCUCUUAAUUGGUGACUUGUAUGAAAGAUUGGAUGAGAUAUAAGCUGUCUUAUUUUUAUUUAUAGAAUUUAAUUUUUU
RNAcentral lists this ribosomal RNA (651 nucleotides) under Grapholita molesta (oriental fruit moth). Its description in RNAcentral is "partial 16S ribosomal RNA". The record is from RNAcentral. Lineage: Eukaryota; Metazoa; Arthropoda; Insecta; Lepidoptera; Tortricidae.